AUUGAACGCUGGCGGCAGGCCUAACACAUGCAAGUCGAACGAGUGGCGGACGGGUGAGUAAUGUCUGGGAAACUGCCCGAUGGAGGGGGAUAACUACUGGAAACGGUAGCUAAUACCGCAUACUAUCGGAUGUGCCCAGAUGGGAUUAGCUAGUAGGUGGGGUAAAGGCUCACCUAGGCGACGAUCCCUAGCUGGUCUGAGAGGAUGACCAGCCACACUGGAACUGAGACACGGCCCAGACUCCUACGGGAGGCAGCAGUGGGGAAUAUUGCACAAUGGGCGCAAGCCUGAUGCAGCCAUGCCGCGUGUAUGAAGAAGGCCUUCGGGUUGUAAAGUACUUUCAGCGAGGAGGCGUUACCCGCAGAAGAAGCACCGGCUAACUCCGUGCCAGCAGCCGCGGUAAUUC
RNAcentral lists this ribosomal RNA (406 nucleotides) under uncultured bacterium. RNAcentral describes it as "partial 16S ribosomal RNA". It matches the Rfam family "Bacterial small subunit ribosomal RNA", at positions 30 to 526 of the family's 1533-position model. The record is from RNAcentral.